Molecule: non-coding RNA, 358 nt
Rfam family: Bacterial RNase P class B
About the family: Ribonuclease P (RNase P) is a ubiquitous endoribonuclease, found in archaea, bacteria and eukarya as well as chloroplasts and mitochondria. Its best characterised activity is the generation of mature 5'-ends of tRNAs by cleaving the 5'-leader elements of precursor-tRNAs.
Source: Rfam
AACUUCGAGUAAUCGCGGUCGGCCCUGAGUCGGCUGAGGAAAGUCCACGCCCGCACAAGCUGAGAUGCUUGUAGUGUUCGCGCUUAGCCCAAUAAGCUAAGGUACUCUUUUAGAGUAACGGCGGCUCAAUGAUCUAAAGUCUUUUGACCAUGGUUAUAGCCUGAAAGUGCCACAGAGACGAGUCGACUGUGAAAACGGUCGAGUGGAACGGGGUAAACCCCACGAGCGAGCAACCCAAAUUUUGGUAGGGGAGUCCUAUGGCGGGAAAUGAACCUAAAGUAGGAGCGUCAGCAGAUAGAUGAUUACUGAUGAUUAAAAUGGACCUAGUUUUAAUCGGAACAAAACGUGGCUUAUAGAA